Molecule: ribosomal RNA, 435 nt
Filed under: uncultured Oscillospiraceae bacterium
Lineage: Bacteria; Bacillati; Bacillota; Clostridia; Eubacteriales; Oscillospiraceae
Description: bacterial SSU rRNA
Rfam family: Bacterial small subunit ribosomal RNA
Source: RNAcentral
ACGGGAGGCAGCAGUGGGGGAUAUUGCACAAUGGGGGAAACCCUGAUGCAGCAACGCCGCGUGAAGGAAGACGGUCUUCGGAUUGUAAACUUUUGUACACAGGGACGAUAAUGACGGUACCUGUGCAGCAAGCUCCGGCUAACUACGUGCCAGCAGCCGCGGUAAUACGUAGGGAGCGAGCGUUGUCCGGAAUUACUGGGUGUAAAGGGUGCGUAGGCGGCUCUGGUAAGUUAGUGGUGAAAACUAUGGGCUUAACCCAUAGCCUGCCAUUAAAACUGCUGGGCUUGAGUGAAGUAGAGGUAGGCGGAAUUCCCGGUGUAGCGGUGAAAUGCGUAGAGAUCGGGAGGAACACCAGUGGCGAAGGCGGCCUACUGGGCUUUAACUGACGCUGAGGCACGAAAGUAUGGGUAGCAAACAGGAUUAGAUACCCUGGUA